RNAcentral lists this long non-coding RNA (2698 nucleotides) under Homo sapiens (human). RNAcentral describes it as "non-protein coding lnc-SHH-4:1". The record is from RNAcentral. Lineage: Eukaryota; Metazoa; Chordata; Mammalia; Primates; Hominidae.
UGACAUCAGCUGGAAGGAGCCACUGCAGGGGUUAGUCAGGCAUACCUGAACCUUAACAUGGUUAAGAGUCAGCCUAGAACCCAGUGUAGGAGAUGAACCCAAAAGAAACCACAAGAGGAGGAAUGUGGCCAUCUGAAAGCAGCAUUCAGCUUCCACACAGGACCACAGUGAGAAAGGUGAGGGCCCUCAGAGCAAACCUGUUUCUCAUAAAGCCCAGUUAUGCUCAUGACUUGGGACAACUUGGGGAUUUCUGGAUCAAAACUUGUUUUGGGGAAGGAAGCCAAAGCAAAGUCCCAGUGAUGGCUGGAAGGAACAGGUAAGAAAGGCCGUGCCUAUCCUAUAAACUGGUGGAGCUCAGAAAGCAAUGGCAUUAGAGGAGGUACACCCUGGCGGCUGGCUGACGCAGUGACCAAUAGGAACAAACCACUUCUCUCUCAUUGCUCUGCCAUUAGAGAUGCUGACAAGGCCAGGUGUGCAUGUCUCAGCCUCCCAUAAAGCUAGUGUACGUGGGCCAUGCGUCGUGGUCAGCAACCCAGAGAAGGAGCUGCAGACAGGCAUCCGGGAAGCUCGUGCAUCUUUAAUAGAUGGAACUGAGAGGAAGAACAUGGAAACUCUCCCUCUCUCUCUUUUCUUUGUACAAUUGUGGCAGCCUCUUUGCAUCAAUGAAUUGAUGAAGAGGAGGUUGGAAAGUUGGAUAUUGAUCCUUCAUGGCAUAAGAAGCUGUGAUAAUCGCCCCAGACUUCAUACCAAGGGAGAGAAGUAAAAGGUCGUAUUGCCCAUGCCACCACUCUUUGAAUUUACUUGCAGCCAAAAGCCUUCCUAACUGAUAAAAUAUCAUCAAAUUAUUUUUUCUUUAAAAAAUGCUUAAUUUGUGAAGAAUUUGAGACGUGUAUAAUUUGCUUUUUCCCCAGAAUAGUAUCACUUAAAUAGCUUUCCUUGACUAGUUUGCUUCAAGGUACCUCAAGGGAGCAUAACAGGCACAUUAUGGUUAGAUAUAGUAAGGAUCACCUUUAUUCUGAAAUGCCAUCUUAGGAGUAUUUACAAAUAAAUAAGGGCUUACUUUUGCUGACACAUUUGCAAGGAUUGGCCCAGAAAGAUUGAGGUUUUGUUGUGCUGGUCUAUUUAAUUCGAUCACAGUUCACAUUGUUCUUGUAUUGCUAAUGCCACUGCUCUGAAUUUACUUGCAGCCGAAAACCUUCCUAACUGAUAAAACAUCAUUGAAUUAUUUUUCUUUAAAAAAUGCUUUAAUUAUUCAAGAAUUGAGAAGUGUAUAAUUUACUUUUUUCCCCAGAACAGUAUCACUUAAAUUAGUUUUACUUCACUUCAAGAUACCUCAAGUGAAUGCAAAGUAAAACCACCACACGCCUAUUAGAAUGGUGAUAUGGCUUUGCUCUGUGUCUGCACCUAAAUCUCAUUAAUGAUGUUGAACAUUUUUUCAUAUGUUUCUUGGCCAUUUGUAUAUCUUCUUUUGAGAAUUGUCCAUUCAUGUCCCUAAGUGAGAAUAAGCCAGUCCCAAAAGUUUACAGGGUGACAUACUGUAUGAUUCCACUUGUAUAAACUUCUUCAAGUGACAAAAUCAUUGAAAUGGAGAUUAGAUGAGUUGCUGAGGGUUACAGAGAGGGCGAGGUGGGAAGAAAGUGGUUUAACUGUAAAAGGUCAACACGAGGAUCCUUUUGUGGUGGAGGUGUUCUGAAGCUUGAUCAUACCAAUGUCAGUGUCUUGGUUUGUGAUGGUGUACUAUAGUUCUGCAAGAUAUGACCACUGGGGAGAAACUGGAUAAAGUGCACACACGGUCUCUCUGUGUUGUUUAUACAUAUGAAACUACAAUUAUCUCAAAUAAAAAGUUUAAUUAGAACAAAAGCUUGUAGCACAGUGACGGGACAAAGGUCCAAAGUUUUGAGGUUCGGAAGUUUGCAGAGGUGUCCGUAGUUGGGUUUCUAAGGGGUAACAGGGUUACGUUCCCCAGGCAAUGUCAUAGACCAGAUCUGGGAUCACCAUUAAAUACUGGGAGUUCUAGGACGGAAAGCUAAAUACAAGCCUCUGUGGAGCCCUGCGUUGAGCUGUGGUUCAGAGAAAGCUGCAGGCCUAAGGGAGAGGUGAAUCCAGACGCAUCAUAGACCAGGAACUGAGACAAGCUACCUGUGAUAUCCCCAGCAUCAGCACAGGGCAAGGACCCCAAGCAUUUUGUGAGUUGGCUCUGGACUAGGGACCCAAGAAACAGCUGAAAAGGCACGGGACAGAGAGGAAUGGGUUCAGAAGAGACGAAAAAGACAGAGAGAAACUAGAGUAUUCCACUCAACCUGGGACUACCAUACAUGAAGAAAAGUAAUGUAGAAAACAACCAGCAUAGCCCCCAGAGCACAAAUUCCCACCAGAUGAAAGAAAAAUAAUACAACAAUUCAGAAGGACCCAGAGAAAUUAAGCAAUAACAGGCUGAAAUUAAAUAAUAACAGACAUAAACAACAAAUCAGGAUGAGCUGUUACAAAUUAAUGAUAGUCAUUUAACUUCAUAGAUGGAAUGUACUUCAUAGAUGGAAUGUACUCUAUCCUAGGCACAAACUAAUAAACUUAUGUUCUUCAGUUAGAACUCAAGAAUUCACCAGAGUGCAGGGCAGACCCGCAAAAUAAGCACAUGGAAAGCAACUAAGAACACGCAGGGUCUUUAUAGCAGCAUGAUUUAUAAUCCUUUGGGUAUAUA